RNAcentral lists this small nucleolar RNA (143 nucleotides) under Octodon degus (degu). RNAcentral describes it as "Small nucleolar RNA SNORA25 (ENSODEG00000021183.1)". Lineage: Eukaryota; Metazoa; Chordata; Mammalia; Rodentia; Octodontidae. The record is from RNAcentral.
AGGUCAUUCGGCUAGUGCAGCGGGGUGCGUGGGAGGUGUCCCCUAUUAAAGGGACCCAAUUAACGCAGUGACCACAGAAUGAAAUUCUCCACAAUAUGUCGUAGUCACUCAGUAGUGCUAUGUUUUUCUGAGGAGAUAACAAU